RNAcentral lists this long non-coding RNA (2345 nucleotides) under Triticum aestivum (bread wheat). RNAcentral's name for it is "long non-coding RNA (TAES_LNC015749)". Lineage: Eukaryota; Viridiplantae; Streptophyta; Magnoliopsida; Poales; Poaceae. The record is from RNAcentral.
AAAGGUAUAAAGGCGACAUGUAAAAGAAAAUAUAUAUGUCAUUUUAGCAGGAAGUAUAUCCAGAAUGUAUGAGAACAUGUGUUGAAAAGAAUUGCUAUCAUAGCCUAACAUUUUUUUAGUUGCACACAUCACAUGUCGAUGUUACAAAUAGAUCAGGUGCCCACAUGCCUUUGAUUUUCCCCUAACAGACUGACUUAGAGCAUGGAUAGUUGGUGCGGGUCUGUAUGUGGUUGCCAAUGGAGUAACUUGCAAUUCCACACCCAGUCUAACAAAAUGAUAAUGUCCACCUCAUGACUUCGGUUCCAUGUCUCCACAAAGCUGGCAGAAUUGAGAAUCACAAAUCAUGAGAAAGGGAAUACACGCAAGAUGUCACGAACAUAAAUUGGUCAAAAGUUCAGGGAUCAAUGAACGGUACCUACAAACCCAAGCAUGAUAGACAGGAAGUACAUCAUGGCGCACGGUACCAAAUGACCAGAAAGCAAAAACCAAAUCAGAAAAAUACAAACCUAGAUUCCUAAAUAAAUAGAGGAUGCAAUUUCUUAUAAUUCUAAAUUGUAGUAUGGAGAUCGCUGUAUGGCCCAUGCACCAAGGUUCUAAGAAAAGUUGGCAUAACAAUCAAGCAUUGCAAAUACUUGGUAUUUUCUAACAGGAAAGGAGAGGGGUCUCUCACCUAGCGAAGCGAUAGGGGGGGGAGGCAACAGGCAAGAACAAUAACAAUGAAAACUGGUGCACGUGUCGUCAUAAAGAUACUUGUAUAUGUGCGCCUAAUCAUAUCCUGCAUCUGUUUAAAUUGUCUGGGAGACAUAUAUUAGAUGACAUAAAAGUAUAUUGUGGGUAAUUCAAGAAAUCUAUAUAUCCUAGAAAAAUAAGUGAUUUACAAUUGAUCAAAGGCAUCCUCUUUAUCAUGUGGACACACAAGAAGAAAAUUUCAGACCAAAUGUGGCAGAUCAGAUUGUCUUUUCAGCUUGUGAAAAAGAGUCAGCUUUUUUUAGGGAUAAUAAGUCAAAAAGGUUAUGUUGUGUUUGCAGGGAACAUAACGUCCUAACGGUGGAUACUCGAGUGGUAUAAGCAGGUAGUAUUUUUAUCUCAUUUAGUCGCAUUAAAAUGAACCUAGACUAUAUACUGCAGCUAAUAUAUUUCAUAUUAGCGUAAAGGGAGAAGCCCAGUGAAAUCAGCUAAGAAUUCAUCUAGGAAUGAUCCGUUCUGUUAUUUUCAAGGGCACAUAUCAAAUGAUCCCAAGUAAGAAUUUCAAAGUUGUGGAAUCUCAAAAGAUCCAUCUAGGAACGCAAGUACGGCAACUAAAUAGUGAUUAAAUUAAUGUUUGAGCUUGGAUAAGCUUACCUGGGUGGCCUCUUCUCCAAACGGUCCUCAACUUUGGGACAUAGAUGGCUUGCUUAAUGAAAUCCGGGCAGCAUGAGCCUCUUCAAAUGGAAUGGUCCCUGUCAUUGCCCUCAAAACAUUAGACCAUGCUUAGUUAUAAAUCACGUCACACAUAGCUUAAUUUUUUGGGUAGUUGUAAACAUUGUACAUCAAAAGUUAAAUAAAAGCCCAAAAGAGAACUCCAAUGACUACAUUAUAAUGCAUUGCCACUUACCCAUGAUCAACACAACAAGAUCGAAGGACGUGUCGACGGGCGGCAAGAGGGGCCUGACAGGGAGGUCCGUGCAGGAUCUGGAAGGAACACACACCAGUGAUGCAAAGCUCAGAACCAACAGAUUGAAAGAAAGCGGCUUAAAUAUUCAUACACAGCAGGCUAAUCAGGUUAAUUUACCAUACAUACGAGCAACUACCACAGAAUAGUUGGAUCUACCCAAGCAGUUCUACAUAAGCUUACAAGCUCGCAAAAUGCCCACACAUUAUGGACCCCUACCUCAAACUGCAAAUCCAGAUCAGAUCCACUAAGAUGCAGCAGCAGAGGCUAACUUCCCAACAAAUCAUCAAUCCCCGAACCCCUUUGCUUAUCCCCAAUCGAAUGGAUCAUCGAGCAAACAGAGCGGGGGCGAACAGGAUCAAAUCGAUGAAACGACCCAGCAUCAGGUGCGGCUGAUUCCGUCCCAGAUCCGCCCGGAUCGACGCGACAGGAAAAGAAAUCAACGGUGAAUCAUCCUGCGGGGAGGCGGAUCGAGUUCGUACCUGACGGAGAGAGGCGACUCGAAUCACGUGGAAGACGAGAAGGAUCCGUGGGGAAAAGUUAUCCUCUGCUGCUCCUCUCGUCGUCGUGGCCCCGACCAGACCGUGCCUGCGAUGGUGAGGAGCAACCUCGACGGGGAGGGCAGAGGCUCAAACGAUAAGCUCCAUCUCCGGUCGACUGGCAAGGCAACCCCAACGGCACGGCACCGUCUGAA